Molecule: unclassified non-coding RNA, 164 nt
Filed under: uncultured Helotiales
Lineage: Eukaryota; Fungi; Ascomycota; Leotiomycetes; Helotiales
Description: sequence contains ITS1
Source: RNAcentral
CAGAGUUCAUGCCCUUCGGGGUAGACCUCCCACCCUUUGUAUACAUUGCCUUUGUUGCUUUGGCGGGCCGCCGCGCCCGCGUCCACCGGCUUCGGCUGGUGUGCGCCCGCCAGAGGACCCCAAACUCUGAAUGUUAGUGUCGUCUGAGUACUAUACAAUAGUUA